AAUGCCGGAUGAGUUAUAUAAGUGCAUGUUUAUAUAGGAAAAGUUGGGGAGACCUGACGCUGAAAGAUGGACUCGCGUCCCAUUAGCUAGUUGGUAGGGUAAUGGCCUACCAAGGCGACGAUGGGUAGCCGGCCUGAGAGGGUGGCCGGCCACACUGGGACUGAGACACGGCCCAGACUCCUACGGGAGGCAGCAGUGGGGAAUUUUGCGCAAUGCUCGUAGGAGUGACGCAGCGACGCCGCGUGAAUGACGAAGGCCUUCGGGUCGUAAAGUUCUUUCGACAGGGAAGAAAAUGCCUAUAAGUAACUGUGUAUGUAUUGACGGUACCUGUAUAAGCAGCCCCGGCUAACUCCGUGCCAGCAGCCGCGGUAAUACGGAGGGGGCGAGCGUUGUUCGGAGUGACUGGGCGUAAAGAGCACGUAGGCGGUGUUGUAAGUCAUUAGUCAAAGACUAGAGCUCAACUUUAGUAAGGCUAGUGAUACUAUAAUACUAGAGUAUCAGAGAGGAUUGCAGAAUUCCUGGUGUAGCGGUGAAAUGCGUAGAUAUCAGGAGGAAUACCGUUAGCGAAGGCGGCAAUCUGGCUGGAAACUGACGCUGAGGUGCGAAAGCGUGGGUAGCAAACAGGAUUAGAUACCCUGGUAGUCCACGCUGUAAACGAUGGAUGCUAGGUGUUGGGCUUUUAAGUUCAGUGCCGCAGC
This 698-nucleotide ribosomal RNA is filed under the name uncultured bacterium. RNAcentral describes it as "bacterial SSU rRNA". It matches the Rfam family "Bacterial small subunit ribosomal RNA", at positions 165 to 852 of the family's 1533-position model. The record is from RNAcentral.